Molecule: ribosomal RNA, 507 nt
Filed under: uncultured bacterium
Lineage: Bacteria
Description: partial 16S ribosomal RNA
Rfam family: Bacterial small subunit ribosomal RNA
Source: RNAcentral
AGUGAACGCUGGCGGUUGGCCUAACACAUGCAAGUCGAACGGCAGCACAGAGGAGCUUGCUCCUUGGGUGGCGAGUGGCGGACGGGUGAGGAAUACAUCGGAAUCUACUCUGUCGUGGGGGAUAACGUAGGGAAACUUACGCUAAUACCGCAUACGACCUACGGGUGAAAGCAGGGGACCUUCGGGCCUUGCGCGAUUGCAUGAGCCGAUGUCGGACUUAGCUAGUUGGCGGGGUAAAGGCCCACCAAGGCGACGAUCCGUAGCUGGUCUGCGGGGAAAGUCAGCCACACUGGAACUGCUCCACAGUCCAGAAUCCUACGGGAGGCAGCAGUGGGGAAUAUUGGACAAUGGGCGCAAGCCUGAUCCAGCCAUACCGCGUGGGUGAAGAAGGCCUUCGGGUUGUAAAGCCCUUUUGUUGGGAAAGAAAUCCAGCUGGCUAAUACCCGGUUGGGAUGACGGUACCCAAAGAAUAAGCACCGGCUAACUUCGUGCCAGCCGCCGCUGUAA